RNAcentral lists this long non-coding RNA (314 nucleotides) under Lepisosteus oculatus (spotted gar). RNAcentral's name for it is "lncRNA (ENSLOCG00000022959.1)". Lineage: Eukaryota; Metazoa; Chordata; Actinopteri; Semionotiformes; Lepisosteidae. The record is from RNAcentral.
UUUGCAUUGCAGCAGCCUGGGUGAGCAGGAACCAAAAUGCAAUAAAACUGCUGCCAACUUUCCAGAGAGCAGACGAAGGCAGAGAUCCCAGCGCUGCAGCCCAGCCUUUGAGGUCUGGUUUUUCUCCAGGCUGUCUGGAAUUCUCCCUGUCAGGCCCUGCCUCACGCCUUAGAUCCCCUGGAGGCGAUGAAGCCUGUGACCCAUACGCCACACUCUUUGUAGAAAGGAGUUCGUAACGAUUAUAAGAAGACUUAAAACUUCAAUACUGAAGACUUCAUGCAAAGGGUCUUGAUAGAAAUAACUAUGGAGAGAAA